This 867-nucleotide ribosomal RNA is filed under the name Glyphoglossus molossus (blunt-headed burrowing frog). Its description in RNAcentral is "partial 16S rRNA". It matches the Rfam family "Bacterial large subunit ribosomal RNA", at positions 1390 to 2592 of the family's 2925-position model. The record is from RNAcentral. Lineage: Eukaryota; Metazoa; Chordata; Amphibia; Anura; Microhylidae.
CGUUAAAGCUUUAUUACAAUUUAACACCAAUUCCAUAAAUUAAUCAAAACCCUUAUCCCGUACUGAGUGACUUCAUAAAAUUAUGAAGAGCCAUAUGCUAGAACUAGUAAUAAGAAGAAGACCUUCUCCAAAAUGUAUGUAUAAGCCAAAAUGAACUACUCAUUGGCACUUACCGCCUAUGAACCCACAGUAGUAACUCAUCAAGAAAAACCUACUGUCCACAGCGUUAAUCUUACACUAGAACAUUCCUGGAAAGAUUAAAAGAAAAGGAAGGAACUCGGCAAAUAAUAACCCCGCCUGUUUACCAAAAACAUCGCCUCCUGAUACUAACUAUAGGAGGUCCAGCCUGCCCAGUGACAAAGUUAAACGGCCGCGGUACCCUAACCGUGCAAAGGUAGCGCAAUCACUUGUUCUUUAAAUGAGGACUAGUAUGAAUGGCAUCACGAGGGUUAUACUGUCUCCCUGAUCUAAUCAAUGAAACUGAUCUUCCCGUGAAGAAGCGGGAAUAAGAAUAUAAGACGAGAAGACCCCAUGGAGCUUCAAACUCAACAUCAACUGCCCAUUACAUAAAACCUAUUAACCAUGCAGACCUGAUUGUUAGUUUUCGGUUGGGGUGACCGCGGAGUAAAACAAAACCUCCACGAUGAACGGGGUUAACCCCCUAAUCCAAGAGCCACAGCUCUAAGAAUCAACAAACUGACAAAAUUUGACCCAAAUUUUUUGAUCAACGGACCAAGUUACCCUGGGGAUAACAGCGCAAUCCAUUUCAAGAGCUCAUAUCGACAAAUGGGUUUACGACCUCGAUGUUGGAUCAGGGUAUCCCAGUGGCGCAGCCGCUACUAACGGUUCGUUUGUUCAACGAUUAAA